This 206-nucleotide unclassified non-coding RNA is filed under the name soil metagenome. RNAcentral's name for it is "partial contains 5.8S ribosomal RNA, internal transcribed spacer 2, and large subunit ribosomal RNA". The record is from RNAcentral.
AACAUCGCGCACCUGCGGGAACCUGCGGAGGGAUCAUUACCGAGUUUACAACUCCCAAACCCCUGUGAACAUACCAAUUGUUGCCUCGGCGGAUCAGCCCGCUCCCGGUAAAACGGGACGGCCCGCCAGAGGACCCCUAAACUCUGUUUCUAUAUGUAACUUCUGAGUAAAACCAUAAAUAAAUCAAAACUUUUAACAAUGGAUCU